RNAcentral lists this ribosomal RNA (638 nucleotides) under uncultured organism. RNAcentral describes it as "bacterial SSU rRNA". It matches the Rfam family "Bacterial small subunit ribosomal RNA", at positions 49 to 708 of the family's 1533-position model. The record is from RNAcentral.
UAAUACAUGCAGUCGAGCGAUGAGGCUCCUUCGGGAGUACAUCAGCGGCGAACGGGUGAGUAACACGUGGGUGACUUGCCCCGAAGAUGGGGAUAACCUCGGGAAACGGGGGCUAAUACCCAAUGUGCUCGGUGAUUCGGUUCAUCGAGUAAAGCUCCGGCGCUUCGGGAGAGGCCUGCGGCCCAUCAGCUAGUUGGUAGGGUAACGGCCUACCAAGGCAGAGACGGGUAGGGGGCGUGAGAGCGCGGACCCCCACACUGGCACUGAGAUACGGGCCAGACUCCUACGGGAGGCAGCAGUAAGGGAUAUUGCGCAAUGGACGAAAGUCAGACGCAGCGACGCCGCGUGGGCGAUGAAGGCCUUCGGGUUGUAAAGCCCUUUUAUGGGGGAAGAGAAAAAGGACGGUACCCCAGGAAUAAGUCCCGGCUAACUACGUGCCAGCAGCCGCGGUAAAACGUAGGGGACAAGCGUUAUCCGGAUUCACUGGGCGUAAAGAGCGUUGAGGCGGUUCCGUAAGUUGGGCGUGAAAGCUCCGGGCUUAACUCGGAGAUGUCGUUCAAUACUGCGGGGCUUGAGGACAGCAGAGGAAGGUGGAAUUCCCGGUGUAGUGGUGAAAUGCGUAGAUAUCGGGAGGAACA